GCUAGUUGUAGUAGUGCAAGCCUAUAGUCCCAGCUACUCAAGCAGCUGAGGUGGGAGAAUUGCUUGAAUCCAGGAAUUCCGGACUGUAGUGCAUUCUGCCACAUGGAUGCCUGCACUAAGUUAGGCAUCAAUAUGGUGUCUUUCCUGGAAGUGUGGGACCACCAGGUUGCCUACAGAGGGGUUAGCCAGUCCGGGUCAAAAACAAAGCAGGUCAAAACUCCCAUGCUAAUCAGUAGUAGCAUUGUGCCUGUGAAUAACCACUGUACUCUGGCCUGGGCAACAUAAUAAGACCAUCAAGUCU
Molecule: signal recognition particle RNA, 301 nt
Filed under: Carlito syrichta (Philippine tarsier)
Lineage: Eukaryota; Metazoa; Chordata; Mammalia; Primates; Tarsiidae
Description: Metazoan signal recognition particle RNA (ENSTSYG00000030066.1)
Rfam family: Metazoan signal recognition particle RNA
About the family: The signal recognition particle (SRP) is a universally conserved ribonucleoprotein. It is involved in the co-translational targeting of proteins to membranes.
Source: RNAcentral